This 407-nucleotide ribosomal RNA is filed under the name Verrucomicrobiota bacterium. RNAcentral describes it as "Verrucomicrobia bacterium partial 16S ribosomal RNA". It matches the Rfam family "Bacterial small subunit ribosomal RNA", at positions 355 to 776 of the family's 1533-position model. Lineage: Bacteria; Pseudomonadati; Verrucomicrobiota. The record is from RNAcentral.
UGGGGAAUAUUGGACAAUGGAGGAAACUCUGAUCCAGCAAUUCUGUGUGUGUGAAGAAGGUUUUAGGACUGUAAAACACUUUUAGUAGGGAAGAAAAAAAUGACGGUACCUACAGAAGAAGCAACGGCUAAAUACGUGCCAGCAGCCGCGGUAAUACGUAUGUUGCGAGCGUUAUCCGGAAUUAUUGGGCUUAAAGGGCAUCUAGGCGGUAAGACAAGUUGAAGGUGAAAACCUGUGGCUCAACCAUAGGCUUGCCUACAAAACUGUUGAACUAGAGUACUGGAAAGGUGGGUGGAACUACACGAGUAGAGGUGAAAUUCGUAAAUAUGUGUAGGAAUGCCGAUGAUGAAGAUAACUCACUGGACAGAAACUGACGCUGAAGUGCGAAAGCUAGGGGAGCAAACAGG